RNAcentral lists this ribosomal RNA (373 nucleotides) under uncultured Streptococcus sp. RNAcentral's name for it is "bacterial SSU rRNA". It matches the Rfam family "Bacterial small subunit ribosomal RNA", at positions 1008 to 1382 of the family's 1533-position model. Lineage: Bacteria; Bacillati; Bacillota; Bacilli; Lactobacillales; Streptococcaceae. The record is from RNAcentral.
AUAGAAGUUACUUCGGUACAGUCGGUGACAGGUGGUGCAUGGUUGUCGUCAGCUCGUGUCGUGAGAUGUUGGGUUAAGUCCCGCAACGAGCGCAACCCCUAUUGUUAGUUGCCAUCAUUCAGUUGGGCACUCUAGCGAGACUGCCGGUAAUAAACCGGAGGAAGUGGGGAUGACGUCAAAUCAUCAUGCCCCUUAUGACCUGGGCUACACACGUGCUACAAUGGUUGGUACAACGAGUUGCGAGUCGGUGACGGCGAGCUAAUCUCUUAAAGCCAAUCUCAGUUCGGAUUGUAGGCUGCAACUCGCCUACAUGAAGUCGGAAUCGCUAGUAAUCGCGGAUCAGCACGCCGCGGUGAAUACGUUCCCGGGCCUU